RNAcentral lists this long non-coding RNA (732 nucleotides) under Monodelphis domestica (gray short-tailed opossum). Its description in RNAcentral is "lncRNA (ENSMODG00000032576.2)". Lineage: Eukaryota; Metazoa; Chordata; Mammalia; Didelphimorphia; Didelphidae. The record is from RNAcentral.
GUUCAAACCCCACAUGCCUUUGUUGCUGUGGCCUACUGGAGCAUCCCUCCAAUCUUUCAGAGAUGAUUUUUAUGCUCUUUUGAGGUAGUCUAUUUCAUUCGGUGAGGGGGAGAGGAAGCAAUUCACGUCUAGAUUGCUGCCAUGUUUACCCAGAAGUCAUCAAUCAUGAGUUUUUGAAGACUAUGUCAAGCACAGCCAAGGCUCAGGUUUGAUGAACAGCCCUGAUUCCCUGAACUUCCAACUGAGCUUUUCAGCAUGAGUUUCAUUAGACAGACGUAGAUGGAGCCUGCUGUAACCCAGCUGCAAAUGAGCUUACAAACCAUCCAAACUGGAAACCUUUGAAUGUGAAUAAUUCAGUGAGUUGAUCAAUAAUUCAUGAAGGAGAGAUGGCACUUCCUUAAGAGUUGAGCUUGCUUGGUGAAAUUGCUCUGUCCGCUGAGGUGCCCACACCCCUCAUUGUCACCUUCUUGCUCAAAUCAAACCUUCCUGUUGGGUUUACCAGGUCACUCCAGGGCCCAGCUGCAGCCUCUGCCAGACAGGGGACCAGGAGAACUCUUUUUCACUCAAAACAAGAUGGAUGGCAUUUCUCUUCAUAUCAGGUCACAAUAAAGCUCCUUAAAGUAUCAUUUCCAUUUUAGCGUCCUUCACAUUUCCCUACUGUCUAUGUAAACACAUACUCUCCAUAAAGGCUGUGCAUUUUAAGGUACUUGAAUAAAGCCAUAGAAGAGGAAU